This 550-nucleotide long non-coding RNA is filed under the name Dasypus novemcinctus (nine-banded armadillo). RNAcentral describes it as "lncRNA (ENSDNOG00000050962.1)". The record is from RNAcentral. Lineage: Eukaryota; Metazoa; Chordata; Mammalia; Cingulata; Dasypodidae.
AGUAAUCCUGAGUCUUAAUGUGCUCUCUCCUCCAUAGAGGUGGAUAUACACAGAUUCAUGCCCCUGGGAAGCAGACUUGGGGAUGUCUACUCAAACCAACCACACAACACAUGGCCUGCAUGUGCUGAGGACCAUGGAAGCGCCAAUGUCUACAUCCUUUAGCUCCCAAGAGGACAUCAACCAGAUCUUCCCAGUUCUGGUUACAGGAACAAGAAGAGUGAAAUAUCAACUGAAGGCAAAACCAGAGAAUAGCAUCAAAAGCACCAAUAUCUGAAUCUAAACUGUCACUGAUAAAUCACUAAAACUGAGUGAUUAUGAGUUUAACGUGCUUGAGAUGACACAGGACUGGAAAAUUGCAGGUACCCUUCUCACAAGACCCCUGGAAGGUCUAAAGUCAUCACUUGUUUCUUGUUUUUGACUUGCUUUUCUUUUCAUCUCUCCCCUAGUUUUUUACCUAUACAAAUUCAAGUUCCCAUUCUCACUUUGAACUGGUUUUGGGAAGAUUCUCCCAGUUCCUUGCUUGAGCAUUUGCAAUAAAUCAUCUUCUCAC